ACGGAAGGCAGCAGUGGGGAAUAUUGCACAAUGGGGGAAACCCUGAUGCAGCGACGCCGCGUGAGUGAAGAAGUAUUUCGGUAUGUAAAGCUCUAUCAGCAAGGAAGAAAAUGACGGUACUUGACUAAGAAGCCCCGGCUAACUACGUGCCAGCAGCCGCGGUAAUACGUAGGGGGCAAGCGUUAUCCGGAUUUACUGGGUGUAAAGGGAGCGUAGACGGUGAGGCAAGUCUGAAGUGAAAUGCGGGGGCUCAACCCCUGAACUGCAUUUGGAACUGUUAAGCUAGAGUAUCGGAGGGGUAAGUGGAAUUCCUAGUGUAGCGGUGAAAUGCGUAGAUAUUAGGAGGAACACCAGUGGCGAAGGCGGCUUACUGGACGAUAACUGACGUUGAGGCUCGAAAGCGUGGGGAGCAAACAGGAUUAGAUACCCUGGUA
This 434-nucleotide ribosomal RNA is filed under the name uncultured Lachnospiraceae bacterium. Its description in RNAcentral is "partial 16S ribosomal RNA". It matches the Rfam family "Bacterial small subunit ribosomal RNA", at positions 341 to 792 of the family's 1533-position model. The record is from RNAcentral. Lineage: Bacteria; Bacillati; Bacillota; Clostridia; Lachnospirales; Lachnospiraceae.